This 716-nucleotide ribosomal RNA is filed under the name uncultured bacterium. RNAcentral describes it as "bacterial SSU rRNA". It matches the Rfam family "Bacterial small subunit ribosomal RNA", at positions 777 to 1500 of the family's 1533-position model. The record is from RNAcentral.
AUUAGAUACCCUGGGUAGUCCACGCAGUAAACGAUGAAUACUAAUUGUCCGGGCAGAGAGAUGCCUGGGUGAUACAGCGAAAGCGUUAAGUAUUCCACCUGGGGAGUACGCCGGCAACGGUGAAACUCAAAGGAAUUGACGGGGGCCCGCACAAGCGGAGGAACAUGUGGUUUAAUUCGAUGAUACGCGAGGAACCUUACCCGGGCUCAAACGACACAGGAAUACUUUUGAAAGGAGGUAGCCAGCAACGGUCUGUGUCGAGGUGCUGCAUGGUUGUCGUCAGCUCGUGCCGUGAGGUGUCGGCUUAAGUGCCAUAACGAGCGCAACCCCUACCGCCAGUUGCCAGCAGGUAAAGCUGGGGACUCUGGCGGGACUGCCGGCGCAAGCUGCGAGGAAGGCGGGGAUGACGUCAAAUCAGCACGGCCCUUACGUCCGGGGCGACACACGUGUUACAAUGGCAGGUACAGCGGGAAGCCACCUGGCGACAGGGCGCGGAACCCGAAAACCUGUCUCAGUUCGGAUUGGAGUCUGCAACCCGACUCCAUGAAGCUGGAUUCGCUAGUAAUCGCGCAUCAGCCACGGCGCGGUGAAUACGUUCCCGGGCCUUGUACACACCGCCCGUCAAGCCAUGGAAGCCGGGAGUGCCUGAAGUGCGUGACCGCAAGGAGCGUCCUAAGGCAAUACCGGUGACUGGGGCUAAGUCGUAACAAGGUAGC